Non-coding RNA from Pelobates cultripes (western spadefoot toad), 1059 nucleotides. NCBI's taxonomy places the organism in Eukaryota, Metazoa, Chordata, Amphibia, Anura, Pelobatidae. The record is from the annotation of a GenBank genome assembly.
UGGUUCUCGACCGGCAGAAGGAAGGGAAUUAGCGGAGGUAACCAGCCGGGCUACCCUGGGUCUGCUACAGCAUUCAUUGGCUAAAAGCGGUCAUCUCUACAGAAGCUUGAUAUCGUAAGAAAACAUGCCAGGAAACCAGGCACCCAGCAGAGAUCCAGGUAAGAGGGCAAACCAUUGCAAAACAGUCUGCCCCCUUGCCAGGAGGAAAGGCUUUACAUUGUACUCCUGAAAUCAGAAACACUACAACAGGCUGUAGUGGUUAUGAUACUUGGAGUAACCCUUUAAGGGCGUUCUGAUUAAAGGAAGACUAAACAAACAAGUAUUACUGACCCUAUAGUGUUAAAACCACCAGCUAGCUCCCCUGGCAUCCCUUUCCCCCCUGAAUAUAGCAAAAUCUUACCUUUACACAAGUUUGCUGCUGCUGGCUCUGCCCUUGAUCUGCCUGGUUUGCUGACAUCUUCAGAAGUGUUGAUCUGAGCCAAUCACAAUGAUCUCGCAUAGAGAUGUAUUGAAUCAAUGCAUCUCUAUGAGGAAAGUUCAGUGUCUGCAUGCAGAGGGUGGAGACACUGAAUGGCAGUGCUGUACAAUGUGCAGCACUGCCCAGGAAGCACCUCUAGUUGCCAUGUAAGAAGUUUCCAGUGCAGUUAUGGCUAGGCUGUAAUGUAAACACUGCAUGUUCUCUGAAAAGACAGUGUUUACUGCAAGGAGCCUGAAGGGAAUGAUUCUACUCACCAGAACAAAUGCAAUAAGCUGUAGUUGUUCUGGUGACUAUGGUGUCUCUUUAAUGCUCUGAUGAGAAAAUUAACAAAAUGUUGGACUAUGCUAAACUGAAAGCCAAAUCUGACAAUUUAUCAGAAAAAGUUGUUGUAAAUAAAGCAGAUUUUAGACCACGUUUCCAGAUUUCCAUUAAACACGUGUGAAUAUGUGGAUUUGUCUUUUUUUGUAUAAACACUGAAAUUAGUUGAAUUUAUCAUAUACUUAUAUUGCUUUUAGAGCCUCUACCAAAUGUAAAUGCCACCUCCCUUCUCUCGUGGUAAUAACCAGCACUGUAAAAGUGAC